GGGUCUGUAGCUCAGUUGGUUAGAGCACACGCUUGAUAAGCGUGGGGUCACAAGU
Molecule: transfer RNA, 55 nt
Filed under: Acinetobacter baumannii 1284800
Lineage: Bacteria; Pseudomonadati; Pseudomonadota; Gammaproteobacteria; Moraxellales; Moraxellaceae
Description: partial tRNA-Ile
Rfam family: tRNA
About the family: Transfer RNA (tRNA) molecules are approximately 80 nucleotides in length. Their secondary structure includes four short double-helical elements and three loops (D, anti-codon, and T loops).
Source: RNAcentral